This 301-nucleotide ribosomal RNA is filed under the name uncultured bacterium. RNAcentral describes it as "partial 16S ribosomal RNA". It matches the Rfam family "Bacterial small subunit ribosomal RNA", at positions 512 to 809 of the family's 1533-position model. The record is from RNAcentral.
CAUAGCGCGGGAAUACAGAGGGUGCGAGCGUUAAUCGGAUUUACUGGGCGUAAAGCGUGCGUAGGCGGCUUCUUAAGUCGGAUGUGAAAUCCCUGAGCUUAACUUAGGAAUUGCAUUCGAUACUGGGAAGCUAGAGUAUGGGAGAGGAUGGUAGAAUUCCAGGUGUAGCGGUGAAAUGCGUAGAGAUCUGGAGGAAUACCGAUGGCGAAGGCAGCCAUCUGGCCUAAUACUGACGCUGAGGUACGAAAGCAUGGGGAGCAAACAGGAUUAGAGACCCCGGUAGUCCCUGUCUCUUAUACAC